RNAcentral lists this ribosomal RNA (253 nucleotides) under uncultured bacterium. Its description in RNAcentral is "partial 16S ribosomal RNA". It matches the Rfam family "Bacterial small subunit ribosomal RNA", at positions 524 to 776 of the family's 1533-position model. The record is from RNAcentral.
UACGUAGGGUGCGAGCGUUAAUCGGAAUUACUGGGCGUAAAGCGUGCGCAGGCGGCUUUGCAAGACAGAUGUGAAAUCCCCGGGCUCAACCUUGGAACUGCAUUUGUGACUGCAAGGCUAGAGUACGGCAGAGGGGGAUGGAAUUCCGCGUGUAGCAGUGAAAUGCGUAGAUAUGCGGAGGAACACCAAUGGCGAAGGCAAUCCCCUGGGCCUGUACUGACGCUCAUGCACGAAAGCGUGGGGAGCAAACAGG